RNAcentral lists this long non-coding RNA (872 nucleotides) under Arabidopsis thaliana (thale cress). Its description in RNAcentral is "long non-coding RNA (ATHA_LNC000629)". Lineage: Eukaryota; Viridiplantae; Streptophyta; Magnoliopsida; Brassicales; Brassicaceae. The record is from RNAcentral.
CGAAGAGUAGUAGUACUCCUCUAUUCCUCGGCCAAAAGAUGUUCGUCGAUCUCUUUCGAGACCUCGACACAGAAUUGGAGGAGAGUUUCCGGAUGAGCUACCUCCUCGCUUAUUUUCUCAUACUCAAGGUGCCAGUGCACAAUACUUCCAGGGCCUCCAAGCUUCGGGGUCACCUGGAUCGUGAGCAAGAAGCUCUUGUACUCUUUCAUCAGAUCACCGUCGAUAACCCUAAACGUGAUCAAGUUCUUAUUCGGCUCCACUGCCUCAAUCCUCUCCUUAGCCACCUUUGCCUCUCUAUCUGCACCAAUUAUUUAACAAUUGAUAUUAUAUGUUUAACUUUGAGACAUGGUUAUACAUGAACAAGAUGUAUAUAACAUUGACUUGCCAUGAACGUAGUUCCAGAAGACGAUAGAGCCGACUUGACCCCAGUCGCCUUCGUGAAGAUCACAACCUUGAAUGUUUCCUGGAGAUGCUUUAGAGACAUGGUGUGGUUUCCCGGCGAACAUGUGAUGGAACUUCUCAGCGGAAGCUUUGAUCUCCACGUCUGUCUCUAGCUUUCCCACCAAACUAGGCGUCUCUGGUGUCUUCACCUCCUCUUCCUCGGCCAAGAGAUGUUCGUCGAUCUCUUUGGAGACCUCGACACAGAACUGGAGGAGAGUUUCCGGGUGAGCUACCUCCUCGCUAAUUUUCUCAUACUCAAGGUGCCAGUGCACAAUACUUCCAGGGCCUCCAGGCUUAGGGGUCACCUGGAUGGUGAGCAAGAAGCUCUUGUACUCUUUCAUCAGAUCACCUUCUAUAACCCUAAACGUGAUCAAGUUCUUAUCUGGCUCCACCGCCUCGAUCCUCUCCUUCGCCACCUUUGCCUCCCCAUC